UACGUAGGGGGCAAGCGUUGUCCGGAAUCAUUGGGCGUAAAGAGCGCGUAGGCGGCCCGAUAAGUCCGCUGUGAAAGUCGAGGGCUCAACCCUCGAAUGCCGGUGGAUACUGUCGGGCUAGAGUACGGAAGAGGCGAGUGGAAUUCCUGGUGUAGCGGUGAAAUGCGCAGAUAUCAGGAGGAACACCAAUUGCGAAGGCAGCUCGCUGGGACGUUACUGACGCUGAGACGCGAAAGCGUGGGGAGCAAACAGG
This 253-nucleotide ribosomal RNA is filed under the name uncultured bacterium. RNAcentral describes it as "partial 16S ribosomal RNA". It matches the Rfam family "Bacterial small subunit ribosomal RNA", at positions 524 to 776 of the family's 1533-position model. The record is from RNAcentral.